AAACGACUCUCGGCAACGGAUAUCUCGGCUCACGCAUCGAUGAAGAACGUAGCAAAAUGCGAUACUUGGUGUGAAUUGCAGAAUCCCGUGAACCAUCGAGUUUUUGAACGCAAGUUGCGCCUAAAGCCAUCCGGCUGAGGGCACGUCUGCCUGGGCGUCAC
Molecule: ribosomal RNA, 161 nt
Filed under: Pseudopodospermum szowitzii
Lineage: Eukaryota; Viridiplantae; Streptophyta; Magnoliopsida; Asterales; Asteraceae
Description: Scorzonera szowitzii ribosomal RNA
Rfam family: 5.8S ribosomal RNA
About the family: 5.8S ribosomal RNA (5.8S rRNA) is a component of the large subunit of the eukaryotic ribosome. It is transcribed by RNA polymerase I as part of the 45S precursor that also contains 18S and 28S rRNA.
Source: RNAcentral